AGGCCCGCUAGGGGAUCCGCGCCAUGGAGGCCGCCCGGGACUAUGCAGGAGCCCUCAUCAGGCGAGUGCCCCGCGUCCCCCUGAUUGCCGUGCGCUUCCAAUCGCCUUGCGUUCGGUGGCCUCAUAUUCCCCUGUGCGCCUCUAGUACCGUACCCCGCUCCCUUCAGCCCCCUGCUCCCCGCAUUCUCUUGCGCUCCGCGACCCCGCGCACACACCCAUCCGCCCCACUGGUGCCCAAGCCGUCCAGCCGCGCCCGCGGGCAGAGCCCAAUCCCGUCCCGCGCCUCCUCACCCUCUUGCAGCUGGGCACAGGUACCAGGUGUGGCUCUUGCGAGGUGCGCGGGCGUCUGCAAACCAGGUGACAGCUGGCGAGUGGCUGCAUGCAUCUCUGGCCGCUGCUGCAGUCGCGGGCGCAGAAGAGGGUCCGGUCCCAGGAACCCCGAGCAAAGCUUCCGCGAUGCGAGGGGACCGGGCUUCUGGGGGUCCUGGAAAUCACAACGGGAGCUGGGCGCGGGAGGGGCCCAGGCUUGGCCCCUCCUGGAAGCGCGGGCUCUGGUCUCCGAGGGGAGGCCCCAACCGUCCGGCGGAGCCCUCCAGGCCCCUGACAUUUAUGGGAUCACAGACUAAGCGAGUCCUGUUCACCCCGCUCAUGCAUCCAGCUCGCCCUUUCCGGGUCUCCAACCAUGACAGGAGCAGCCGGCGUGGGGUGAUGGCAAGCAGCCUGCAGGAGCUCAUCAGCAAGGGAGGAUGCAGGGAUGGAGCCGACUUUGGAAGUCUGGGUUUGGUUGUAAAGGCCAGGAUCUAGAACAGUGUCCUAGACCACCAAAUAAGGAAGAAUCCCAGCCUCUCAGAGAAGCAUAACUCAGACUCAGGCACCCAUGGAAACAAGAAACAAGCAUCCAACAUGCAGUCUCUGAAGCAAGAGAGACACUCAGCUACGCACACGAGGCUGUGGCUCUUACAGCAGCAAACAUGCAAGAGCUUUCUUUUUAUUCAUCUAAAUAAAUAGACUCUGGAUGCCCUCGUCAUCGCUACCGGACUGGUCACUCUGGUGCUGGAGGAAGAUGGCACCGUGGUGGACACAGAAGAGUUCUUUCAGACCUUGGGAGACAACACGCAUUUCAUGAUCUUGGAAAAAGGACAGAAGUGGAUGCCGGGCAGCCAGCACGUCCCCACUUGCUCGCCGCCGAAGAGGUCGGGAAUAGCGAGAGUCACCUUCGACUUGUACAGGCUGAACCCCAAGGACUUCAUCGGCUGCCUUAACGUGAAGGCCACCAUGUAUGAGAUGUACUCCGUGUCCUACGACAUCCGGUGCACGGGACUCAAGGGCCUGCUGAGGAGUCUGCUGCGGUUCCUGUCCUACUCCGCCCAGGUGACGGGACAGUUUCUCAUCUAUCUGGGCACAUACAUGCUCCGGGUGCUGGAUGACAAGGAAGAGCGGCCAUCCCUCCGGUCACAAGCCAAGGGCAGGUUCACGUGUGGAUAGGGAUGCAGGCUGUCGCCGGCUCUUGAGCCAAACACUGUGUUUCGUUUGGCUCAAUGACGAAUGUUGAAGAUGCUUUUAUGUUCUGAGCCACAUGCACUUGGAGGCCGCUGGUCACGCUGCUCAGGAGUGGUGCCCAGAAAAGGAAAGGGCUUGGUGGUACAUGAAGUGGGGGCAGUGGGCAGGGUGCCCUGGGGGGGAGGCAUAGAGGGCCCUGGGGGUCAUGGGAAGCGAGCACGCAGCAGGCGUGCCCAGGAGCGUGUGCAUGUGUCAGAGCCAUUUGGUCCAUCAUCUCCUGCAAUAAACCCAUCGCAAGAAUGACCUUCAA
RNA transcript from Homo sapiens (human), 1810 nucleotides. It is a transcript of the gene named cell death inducing DFFA like effector a, with no coding region annotated. The record is from RefSeq and is marked reviewed. NCBI's taxonomy places the organism in Eukaryota, Metazoa, Chordata, Mammalia, Primates, Hominidae. The transcript is spliced from 6 exons.